This 326-nucleotide unclassified non-coding RNA is filed under the name soil metagenome. Its description in RNAcentral is "partial contains 5.8S ribosomal RNA, internal transcribed spacer 2, and large subunit ribosomal RNA". The stretch from base 1 to 120 matches the Rfam family "5.8S ribosomal RNA", at positions 35 to 154 of the family's 154-position model. The record is from RNAcentral.
GAUGAAGAACGCAGCGAAAUGCGAUACGUAAUGUGAAUUGCAGAAUUCAGUGAAUCAUCGAGUCUUUGAACGCACAUUGCGCCCUCUGGUAUUCCGGAGGGCAUGCCUGUUCGAGCGUCAUUUCACCACUCAAGCCUGGCUUGGUAUUGGGCGCCGCGGUGUUCCGCGCGCCUCAAAGUCUCCGGCUGAGCUGUCCGUCUCCAAGCGUUGUGAUUUCAUUAAUCGCUUCGGAGUGCGGGCGGCCGCGGCCGUUAAAUCUUUCACAAGGUUGACCUCGGAUCAGGUAGGGAUACCCGCUGAACUUAAGCAUAUCAAUAAGCGGAGGA